UUCUAAGGGCGUUGAAGCAUGAUCGCAAGGACAUGUGGAGCGCUUAGAAGUGAGAAUGCCGGUGUGAGUAGCGAAAGACGGGUGAGAAUCCCGUCCACCGAUUGACUAAGGUUUCCAGAGGAAGGCUCGUCCGCUCUGGGUUAGUCGGGUCCUAAGCUGAGGCCGACAGGCGUAGGCGAUGGAUAACAGGUUGAUAUUCCUGUACCACCAUUAUUCGUUUUAAGCGAUGGGGGGACGCAGUAGGAUAGGCGAAGCGUGCUGUUGGAGUGCACGUCCAAGCAGUGAGAUUGAGUGUUAGGCAAAUCCGGCACUCUUAAGAUUGAGCUGUGAUGGGGAGAGGAACUUGUUCCUCGAGUCGUUGAUUUCACACUGCCGAGAAAAGCCUCUAGCUAGAAUAACGGUGCCCGUACCGCAAACCGACACAGGUAGUCAAGAUGAGAAUUCUAAGGUGAGCGAGCGAACUCUCGUUAAGGAACUCGGCAAAAUGACCCCGUAACUUCGGGAGAAGGGGUGCUCUUUGAGGUUCACGCUUCGAAGAGCCGCAGUGAAUAGGCCCAAGCGACUGUUUAUCAAAAACACAGGUCUCUGCUAAACCGUAAGGUGACGUAUAGGGGCUGACGCCUGCCCGGUGCUGGAAGGUUAAGAGGAGUGGUUAGCGCAAGCGAAGCUACGAAUCGAAGCCCCAGUAAACGGCGGCCGUAACUAUAACGGUCCUAAGGUAGCGAAAUUCCUUGUCGGGUAAGUUCCGACCCGCACGAAAGGCGUAACGAUUUGGGCACUGUCUCAACGAGAGACUCGGUGAAAUCAUAGUACCGGUGAAGAUGCCGGUUACCCGCGACAGGACGGAAAGACCCCGUGGAGCUUUACUGUAGCCUGAUAUUGAAAUUCGGUACAGUUUGUACAGGAUAGGUAGGAGCCUUAGAAGCGUGAGCGCUAGCUUACGUGGAGGCAUUGGUGGGAUACUACCCUAAUUGUAUUGGAUUUC
RNAcentral lists this ribosomal RNA (985 nucleotides) under Staphylococcus pseudintermedius. RNAcentral describes it as "partial 23S ribosomal RNA". It matches the Rfam family "Bacterial large subunit ribosomal RNA", at positions 1239 to 2222 of the family's 2925-position model. The record is from RNAcentral. Lineage: Bacteria; Bacillati; Bacillota; Bacilli; Caryophanales; Staphylococcaceae.